This 253-nucleotide ribosomal RNA is filed under the name uncultured bacterium. RNAcentral's name for it is "partial 16S ribosomal RNA". It matches the Rfam family "Bacterial small subunit ribosomal RNA", at positions 524 to 776 of the family's 1533-position model. The record is from RNAcentral.
UACGAGAGGCCCAAACGUUAUUCGGAAUUACUGGGCUUAAAGAGUUCGUAGGCGGCAUUGCAAGUAGGGUGUGAAAGCCCUCGGCUCAACCGAGGAAUUGCGCUCUAAACUGCAGUGCUCGAGGAAGCUAGAGGUGAGCAGAACAGAUGGUGGAGCGGUGAAAUGCGUUGAUAUCGGAAGGAACGCCCGUGGCGAAAGCGAGGUCCUGGACGCCUACUGACGCUGAGACGCGAAAGCCAGGGGAGCGAACGGG